This 406-nucleotide ribosomal RNA is filed under the name uncultured bacterium. Its description in RNAcentral is "partial 16S ribosomal RNA". It matches the Rfam family "Bacterial small subunit ribosomal RNA", at positions 30 to 526 of the family's 1533-position model. The record is from RNAcentral.
AUUGAACGCUGGCGGCAGGCCUAACACAUGCAAGUCGAACGAGUGGCGGACGGGUGAGUAAUGUCUGGGAAACUGCCUGAUGGCGGGGGAUAACUACUGGAAACGGUAGCUAAUACCGCAUACCAUCAGCUGAGCCCAGAUGGGAUUAGCUAGUAGGUGGGGUAAAUGCUCACCUAGGCGACGAUCCCUAGCUGGUCUGAGAGGGUGACAAGCCACACUGGAACUGAGACACGGUCCAGACUCCUCCGGGAUGCAGCAGUGGGGAAUAUUGCACAAUGGGCGCAAGCCGGAUGCAGCCAUGCCGCGUGUGUGAAGAAGGCCUUCGGGUUGUAAAGCACUUUCAGCGGGGAGGCGUUACCCGCAGAAGAAGCACCGGCGAACUCCGUGCCAGCAGCCGCAGUAAUUC